AAGCAUGCAUGGGAAAAGGAAAUUGAUAAACAUGGGGGAGAAAGAUGCAAAUUCAAUUCUGCUGGGAAUUUCAGAAAUAAAGAAAUAUGAGAAGAAUUUCCCCAUGCCCAGGAAUGAAGAAGCCCUUCAGCAAGAACGGGUGUUGGAGGACAGGCAUGGGUAGGGCUGGGAAGGCUGUCUCAUGAAAGACUGGGAAAGUGGAUGGACUCCUGGAAUGCCUGCCUGGAAGUCUGCCUUGAACCGGUAGGCAAGGUGAAUUCACUCAGGUUUGCUUGGGGAACCCAGCAAGUAGUCGCUAAAGGAUGGAUGGGACCGAAAGGUAAGUUUGGAAACGGAUGGAGUUGUCUAGAGCAGAGACCAGUUGAUGCCCACUGAGAAGCUGGAGUUGGUGAAGAAAGUGAACAUGUAAAUGACCAAGAAGGAAUGUCAGUAUUGAGUCACCCCAGUGUGGUGCUGGGAUCAGACCCAGGGCUUGGCCUGGCUAGAAAAACAGUCACAGAGCUAUGGUCAAGCCUUUGCUUUUAUGCUUGCUUCAUUCUGUAGUUCAUUGCUCACACUGUAGCCCAGGCUAGCUUUCCUGCCUUACCACCAAACUUCAGUGUGUGUCACCAUGCCUGAAUCACCAUGCCUGGAUCCCCAUGUCUGGAAUCACCAAGCCUGAAUCACCAUGCCUGGAUCCCCAUGUCUGGAAUCACCAAGCCUGGAUCACCAUGCCUGGAAUCACCAUGCCUGGAUCACCAUGCCUGGAAUCACCAAGCCUGGAAUCAGCCUCCUUGUUUUUAUUUUGUUUGAAUGUCUUCUCAAGAUAGUUUUGUUUUUAAAUAACAAACAGAAACCAAGGCUGUCCUACAAAACAGCCCUUCAAAGGAGGCAUGUAAAAUAUGAAAGUGGCCCUAAUGCGACAGAGCCACCACGCGUUUCUCCUGGACAACAGGCCUUCCUGCUCUGCAAUCACGUAGGGGCAUUUAACUCGGCAUCCAAAGAAAACUGGUUCUCCCCAAGCCCGACAUCUAGACUGAGAACCAGAAACUGGAAGCUCCAGAGGGAAACGGCUUAUCUGAGGUUACCCCAGCUGAGUCAGCAGCACAGUAGAAGAUCCGAAGACAGAGACCAUCCUUAAAACACUGCCACGGCUUCUCUAGCCUCGACCUAUGACCUGCUGUCCUUAUUCCUUACAAAGUUGCUGUCAGUCACUGAGGGUGGGUUCCCCUCCCGAGGUCUGUAUUGUGAGCCUGUAAUCCCAGCACAAGGGUGAGGAAGACAGCAGGAUCAUUCUCAGCUGCACUGUGAGCUCCAGGACGGUCUCAGCUCCUUAAGACCUUAUCCCAAGGGAAAAAAAAGAAAUCACACUUUAACAAGGAGCACAGAAAAGAUGUUUCUUUUGCUUUACUGGGAAGGAAAUGGGUUGUGCAGUUUUAAGGGGUUGCUAUGGCACUGGAGAGGCAGUUCAGCAGUUAAGGUAAGGUAUUACUCUUGUAAUGAAUCUUUCUCUGUCUUGCCUGCCAGCUUUCAAAUAAUGACAUAGAGACUUCUUAUUAUUUAAGAAAGCUCGGCCUAUAGUUUAGGCUUAUUUGUAACUAGCUCUUAUAACUUAAACUAACCCAUUUAUAUUAAUCUACGGUCUUCACAUGGCAUUACCUCUCUUCCAUCUUGCAACUUCUAUUUCCUUUCCAUGUUUCCUGACUUCUCCCACGUACCUAGCUUCCUCCUUCUCUUUCUUUCUCUCCCCAGAAGUCCCGCCUACACUUCCUACCUGGGCCGUUCAGCUUUUUAUUUCCACAAUCACAGCAAUGCACCUUCACACACUGUACACAUAUCCCAUAGCAUAGUCUUGCAGAGAGAGAGUUCAGUUCCCAGCACCCACAGCAGGCAACUCACAGCCGCCUGUAACUCACAAGGGAACCUGACACCUCUGCCCUCAGGCAUACCCCCCCCCACAUAAUUAGAAAUAAUAAAAACAAUCCUAAUUUUUAAAAAGUGUUACUAGUUGCUUCCGUAAAACUAAGCAUACUUUUUUUUGUUGGGGGGGUGGAUGCAGCUCAUCCAUGAGUCCCUGAGCAUGCGCAAGAGAAAACACAAAAGUGUCUCAAAAUGAUACAGGGAUUCUAAAUUUAUUAAAGGCUUUUUUUUGUUUUGUUUUGUUUUCGGCUCUUAUUUGUUGGAAGAGGGAAGAACUAAGAUUUCCUCCUUGGCACUGUUAUUUCUUCUGGGGUGGGAAAGAAUGUCUGCCCUCUUGGUGCCUUGUUAUUGUUCUGUCUUGACAAACUCCAUCCGGAGAAGAGCAGAUUUUCUCUGGCGGACAGCCACGUGUGGUGGAAAAACCCUUUACCCCAGCCCCCCUGCUAAUCCAUUGGACAAUCUUUGGACAACUGACCAGGGUCACCAACCCCCAUGGUGACCUUCGGAGGGAAAUACAGGACUGCUGAACUCUAGAAGGAAAGGAGGGGUUGGUGAGUGAGCCGCAGUUUCCCGACUGUCCUCUGCCCUGCCGACACCGCUAAGGUGCCCUACCCUUUCUGUUCACACUCUUCCCCACUGCCUAAGGUCAGCCUCAACACCUGACAAACCCUGAGAGGAAGAAAAGAUUCUCUCAGACCCAACUUGGAACGUUCCUAGAGUUUAACUAUGUGUAUACGUGUGUGUGUGUGUGUGUGUGUGUGUGUGUGUGUUCAUAUACCCACAGAGGCUAGAAAGGCAUCCAGGCCCCCCCCCCCCGCACCCCCCUCUCCGCAUCCCAGCUGCAGUUUGUGAGCAGCCAGAUGUGGGUGCAGGGAACUGAACUCUCCUCAGGAGCGGCAGGUGCUCUUAAUUGUUGAGCCAUCUCCGCAGCCCUGUUUUCUGAGGCUUUUAGUGCUUUCUUCUCACUCAGGUUGGCCCUGGGGGACAAAGGUUUCCCAGCGAAAUAUUUUCACCCGUACAUUCGUUUCUAUCUGAACAAGGCUAAUUUAAGUCCCUGAAAACUAGAAUUACUUCUUUGAAGCAUAAAAAGGAGAGUUCACGGGUUUCUGAAACUUAGGAGGGUUGGUUGCGCCUUUCUUUUCUCCUUCUGGACGACUUAGACACUGACUCACACACACACACACACACACACACACA
This is a non-coding RNA of Myodes glareolus (Bank vole), 3096 nucleotides long. The record is from RefSeq and is a predicted model, not a curated record. Lineage: Eukaryota; Metazoa; Chordata; Mammalia; Rodentia; Cricetidae.